UUCCAGACUCCUACGGGAGGCAGCAGUGGGGAAUAUUGGGCAAUGGGCGCAAGCCUGACCCAGCAAUGCCGCGUGAAGGAAGAAGGCCCUCGGGUUGUAAACUUCUUUUAUCAGGGACGAAGGAUGUGACGGUACCUGAUGAAUAAGCUCCGGCUAACUACGUGCCAGCAGCCGCGGUAAUACGUAGGGAGCAAGCGUUAUCCGGAUUUACUGGGUGUAAAGGGCGCGUAGGCGGGAUGGCAAGUCAGAUGUGAAAUCCGGGGGCUCAACCCCUGAACUGCAUUUGAAACUGUCGUUCUUGAGUACUGGAGAGGUUGACGGAAUUCCUAGUGUAGCGGUGAAAUGCGUAGAUAUUAGGAGGAACACCAGUGGCGAAGGCGGCUUACUGGACUGUAACUGACGUUGAGGCUCGAAAGCGUGGGGAGCAAACAGGAUUAGAUACCCCUGUA
Molecule: ribosomal RNA, 449 nt
Filed under: uncultured bacterium
Lineage: Bacteria
Description: partial 16S ribosomal RNA
Rfam family: Bacterial small subunit ribosomal RNA
Source: RNAcentral